This 673-nucleotide long non-coding RNA is filed under the name Calidris pugnax (ruff). RNAcentral describes it as "lncRNA (ENSCPUG00000000045.1)". The record is from RNAcentral. Lineage: Eukaryota; Metazoa; Chordata; Aves; Charadriiformes; Scolopacidae.
CUUCUUUUUGUAUAAGAUCGAGGAUCCUGGGAAAGUUCAGUCAGAUGCUGCCUCCAUUUGCCUGAGUCUCAAGGGGCAGGGUGCAUUCCUUGGGUCACCUCAGAGGCAUACAAAGAAUGCAAAGACACAUUUUAAACUCUGAAAUGGAUGUAGGAAGCUGAAUUAUCACCAAAGGCCACAGCUUCACACUCCCUGCUUUCUAAGAACUUCUGCGUCAGUCAGAAAGGAGGAAGUGAAACCCAUUAAUUAGAUGAAUAAAGCAGAAUUAGUCCUGCCAGGAAACUGAGCUUCCCGCCUCCGCAGAAGCGCCCAGUGUCGGGUCCCUCCUGGAGCACCCACCAGUAAGUGGUCCUGGUAAGAAUUUGGGGCAGAACUCUACUUGUAAGGAUUUGGAGCCUGGUUGAAGCUUGUCAUCUGGGAUGCCUCGUGAACAGUGGAGAAAGGAGGUCUCUGCAGGAAGCACUCAUCCCGUUUAUCUCGGGUGCAUCAGGGUGGGAUAAAUCAUCUCCUGAUGGUGCCCAUCCUUCUCCAUAACUGGACAGCCUAUGUGGACUCUACAGACUAGAGAUCAAACAACUCCUCAGGUACUAACACUUAAACUGCACUUAUCGGUAAUUGAAAAUUCUAUAGCAUGAAUAUAUGUGUAUGAAGUUAAAAGAUUUUCUGCUGGGGA